ACUACAAAAACACAAACAAAGC
RNAcentral lists this small nuclear RNA (22 nucleotides) under Arabidopsis thaliana (thale cress). Its description in RNAcentral is "snRNA_09336". The record is from RNAcentral. Lineage: Eukaryota; Viridiplantae; Streptophyta; Magnoliopsida; Brassicales; Brassicaceae.